RNAcentral lists this ribosomal RNA (491 nucleotides) under uncultured bacterium. RNAcentral's name for it is "partial 16S ribosomal RNA". It matches the Rfam family "Bacterial small subunit ribosomal RNA", at positions 29 to 507 of the family's 1533-position model. The record is from RNAcentral.
AGUGAACGCUGGCGGUAGGCCUAACACAUGCAAGUCGAACGGCAGCACAGUAAGAGCUUGCUCUUACGGGUGGCGAGUGGCGGACGGGUGAGGAAUACAUCGGAAUCUACUUUUCGUGGGGGAUAACGUAGGGAAACUUACGCUAAUACCGCAUACGACCUACGGGUGAAAGCAGGGGAUCUUCGGACCUUGCGCGAUUGAAUGAGCCGAUGUCGGAUUAGCUAGUUGGCGGGGUAAAGGCCCACCAAGGCGACGAUCCGUAGCUGGUCUGAGAGGAUGAUCAGCCACACUGGAACUGAGACACGGUCCAGACUCCUACGGGAGGCAGCAGUAGGGAAUAUUGGACAAAGGGCGCAAGCCUGAUCCAGCCAUACCGCGUGGGUGAAGAAGGCCUUCGGGUUGUAAAGCCCUUUUGUUGGGAAAGAAAAGCAGCAGGUUAAUACCCCGCUGUUCUGACGGUACCCAAAGAAUAAGCACCGGCUAACUUCGUG